This 253-nucleotide ribosomal RNA is filed under the name uncultured bacterium. RNAcentral's name for it is "partial 16S ribosomal RNA". It matches the Rfam family "Bacterial small subunit ribosomal RNA", at positions 524 to 776 of the family's 1533-position model. The record is from RNAcentral.
UACGUAGGGUGCGAGCGUUGUCCGGAAUUAUCGGGCGUAAAGAGCUCGUAGGCGGUUUGUCGCGUCGACUGUGAAAACCCGAGGCUUAACCUCGGGCCUGCAGUCGAUACGGGCAGACUAGAGUUCGGUAGGGGAGACUGGAAUUCCUGGUGUAGCGGUGAAAUGCGCAGAUAUCAGGAGGAACACCGGUGGCGAAGGCGGCUUCCUGGACCGACACUGACGCUGAGGCGCGAAAGCGUGGGGAGCAAACAGG